GGAAGGGGUGUAUUUAUUAGAUUAAAAGCCAAUGCCCUCUGGGCUCUUUGGUGAUUCAUGAUAACUUCUCGAAUCGCACGGCCUUGCGCCGGCGAUGGUUCAUUCAAAUUUCUUCCCUAUCAACUUUCGAUGUUUGGGUAUUGGCCAAACAUGGUUGCAACGGGUAACGGAGGGUUAGGGCUCGACCCCGGAGAAGGAGCCUGAGAAACGGCUACUACAUCCAAGGAAGGCAGCAGGCGCGCAAAUUACCCAAUCCCGACACGGGGAGGUAGUGACAAUAAAUACUGAUACAGGGCUCUUUUGGGUCUUGUAAUUGGAAUGAGUACAAUUUAAAUCCCUUAACGAGGAACAAUUGGAGGGCAAGUCUGGUGCCAGCAGCCGCGGUAAUUCCAGCUCCAAUAGCGUAUAUUAAAGUUGUUGUGGUUAAAAAGCUCGUAGUUGAACCUUGGGCCUGGCUGGCCGGUCCGCCUCCACCGCGUGUACUGGUCCGGCCGGGCCUUUCCCUCUGUGGAACCUCAUGCCCUUCACUGGGUGUGACGGGGAACCAGGACUUUUAC
Molecule: ribosomal RNA, 557 nt
Filed under: uncultured Ascomycota
Lineage: Eukaryota; Fungi; Ascomycota
Description: SSU rRNA
Rfam family: Eukaryotic small subunit ribosomal RNA
Source: RNAcentral